RNAcentral lists this ribosomal RNA (482 nucleotides) under uncultured soil bacterium. Its description in RNAcentral is "bacterial SSU rRNA". It matches the Rfam family "Bacterial small subunit ribosomal RNA", at positions 26 to 506 of the family's 1533-position model. The record is from RNAcentral.
AGAUUGAACGCUGGCGGCAGGCCUAACACAUGCAAGUCGAGCGGUAGAGAGGUGCUUGCAUCUCUUGAGAGCGGCGGACGGGUGAGUAAUGCCUAGGAAUCUGCCUAGUGGUGGGGGAUAACGUUCGGAAACGGACGCUAAUACCGCAUACGUCCUACGGGAGAAAGCGGGGGACCUUCGGGCCUCGCGCCAUUAGAUGAGCCUAGGUCGGAUUAGUAGUUGGUGAGGUAAUGGCUCACCAAGGCGACGAUCCGUAACUGGUCUGAGAGGAUGAUCAGUCACACUGGAACUGAGACACGGUCCAGACUCCUACGGGAGCAGCAAGUGGGAAUAUUGGACAAUGGGCGAAAGCCUGAUCCAAGCCAUGCCGCGUGUGUGAAGAAGGUCUCGGAUUGAAAGCAACUUUAAGUUGGAAGGAAGGUUGUAAACCUAAUACGUUGACAACUUUGACGUUACGACAGAAUAAGCACGGCUAAACUCGU